GUCCUAGCCGUAAACGAUGGACACUAAAUGGAGGGGGGUUUACCUUUCUCUGUUGCAGCUAACGCGUUAAGUGUCCCGCCUGGGGAGUACGGCCGCAAGGUUAAAACUCAAAGGAAUUGACGGGGGCUCGCACAAGCGGUGGAGCAUGUGGUUCAAUUCGAUGCAACGCGAAGAACCUUACCCGGGCUUGAAGUGGAGAUGGUAGAAACCGGAAACGGUAACGACCCCGAAAGGGGAGUCUUCAUCAGGUGUUGCAUGGCUGUCGU
RNAcentral lists this ribosomal RNA (266 nucleotides) under uncultured bacterium. RNAcentral's name for it is "partial 16S ribosomal RNA". It matches the Rfam family "Bacterial small subunit ribosomal RNA", at positions 793 to 1055 of the family's 1533-position model. The record is from RNAcentral.